CCUACGGGUGGCAGCAGUGAGGAAUAUUGGUCAAUGGGCGCGAGCCUGAACCAGCCAAGUAGCGUGAAGGAUGACGGCCCUACGGGUUGUAAACUUCUUUUAUAAGGGAAUAAAGUGAGGCACGUGUGCCUUUUUGUAUGUACCUUAUGAAUAAGGAUCGGCUAAAUCCGUGCCAGCAGCCGCGGUAAUACGGAGGCUCCGAGCGUUAUCCGGAUUUAUUGGGUUUAAAGGGAGCGUAGACGGGUUGUUAAGUCAGUUGUGAAAGCAUGUGGCUCAACCCUAAAAUUGCAAUUGAUACUGGGAGGCUUGAGUGCAGGUGAGGUAGGCGGAAUUCGUGGUGUAGCGGUGAAAUGCGUAGAUAUUACGAAGAACUCCGAUUGCGAAGGCAGCCUACUAGACUGCCACUGACAUUGAGGCUCGAAAGUGUGGGUAUCAAACAGGAUUAGAUACCCGAGUAGUC
RNAcentral lists this ribosomal RNA (460 nucleotides) under uncultured bacterium. RNAcentral's name for it is "partial 16S ribosomal RNA". It matches the Rfam family "Bacterial small subunit ribosomal RNA", at positions 338 to 795 of the family's 1533-position model. The record is from RNAcentral.